GUGCCUUUCUUGAGCUUCAAUAAAAUCACUAUAAACUCUCAGCAUGUCCCAGGCAAUAGCCCUUUGACACCUCACAUAAUGUGCAAGAAAAAAAGUAUUUAAAUUUUUAGAAAAAUAUCAGUGAAUUAAAUAAAGAAAAGGAAAAAACAGUUUUGGUUAAAAACCUUAAGAAUAAGUAUUGGAAUCCCUUAAUUAGUACAUUAGCUGUAAAUUAGAAUGUGU
This 222-nucleotide unclassified non-coding RNA is filed under the name Hevea brasiliensis (rubber tree). Lineage: Eukaryota; Viridiplantae; Streptophyta; Magnoliopsida; Malpighiales; Euphorbiaceae. The record is from RNAcentral.